RNAcentral lists this ribosomal RNA (253 nucleotides) under uncultured bacterium. RNAcentral describes it as "partial 16S ribosomal RNA". It matches the Rfam family "Bacterial small subunit ribosomal RNA", at positions 524 to 776 of the family's 1533-position model. The record is from RNAcentral.
UACGUAGGGGGCGAGCGUUGUCCGGAUUUAUUGGGCGUAAAGAGCGUGUAGGCGGUUCGGUAAGUCUGUCGUGAAAUCCUGAGGCUCAACCUCGGGCGUGCGAUGGAUACUGCCGGGCUAGAGGAUGGUAGAGGCGAGUGGAAUUCCCGGUGUAGCGGUGAAAUGCGCAGAUAUCAGGAGGAACACCGGUGGCGAAGGCGGGUCUCUGGGCCGAUACUGACGCUGAGGAGCGAAAGCGUGGGGAGCGAACAGG